GUCUAUGAUCAUACCACCUUGAAAGUGCCCGAUCUCGUCUGAUCUCAGAAGCUAAGCAGGGUCAGGUCCGGUUAGUACUUGGAUGGGAGAAAAACUAACUAAUUAAAGAAA
Molecule: ribosomal RNA, 111 nt
Filed under: Chinchilla lanigera (long-tailed chinchilla)
Lineage: Eukaryota; Metazoa; Chordata; Mammalia; Rodentia; Chinchillidae
Source: RNAcentral